CCAGAGAGAGCUCAGGAGGGACUCAGCUUUGGGCCAGUGCUGAACUUCCUUCCGAGGAGAGGGAGGGGGAAGCAUCUGGGGUCUGUGCAUUGCUCCAGAUUAGGUAACCCAAAGUCACGGGAAGAGCUGAAGGGAAGAGUGGAUGUAAGUGUUGUCUGACAGAGCUUUCACCACGACAGAGCACACAGAGAGAGGAGUGUUUAAGGUUGCCGGCGCAGGACGGGCUAUAUUUAACUCCCACGUCACGCAGGCUGCUCCAGCAGCGCCCCGCGACACCACCGAGGCACAAAAGGAAUUCGGCUCCUAAAGAUAAAUGAACGACAGCAGAGAAGCCAAAGCCCUGAGCCGGGGGCGAUGCUGGUGCCCCCAUGCCCGGGCUGUUCCCCAGCCCUGGCGCUCCGGGCUGUCCCCAGGGCCGGGACAGGGCUGGGGCACCCCCGGGCUGCCCCGGCUGAGCCUGGCUCCCAGAAAAGUGACCCCGAGGAGGCCCCUGUCCCCGAGCACCCAGAGCUAGCACAGGGACCUGCUGCGCUGACAGGGGCACUGCUCCUGCCGGGGUCCC
Molecule: non-coding RNA, 562 nt
Organism: Taeniopygia guttata (zebra finch)
Lineage: Eukaryota; Metazoa; Chordata; Aves; Passeriformes; Estrildidae
Source: RefSeq, a predicted model, not a curated record